AGGGAACACAUAAUUUACUUCCAAAAAAAAGUUCAGAUGUUUUUCAAUCUUUUGCAACUAGAGUUUUAAAGCUAUCAAAUGCACGUGGGCAGGAGCUCUUGUACAGUUCAGGUGCUUGGCCUGUGCUGUAGAUAACAGCAUAUUAGUUUGUGGUCAGUUCCUGUAUUCUGUUUCCAAAUUCUUCCUGUCUGAAAAGAAUAUGUAUCUGUUAUCUAUUUCUUACAGGAUCUGCUAUUUCAAAAACAAAAACCAACCAACCAAAGAGUUUCUGAGGACCUGUGACUUCCAUUGGUUUUGUGGGGUGAUGAAGAUCCUGAAUCUGCAAAAUUAAUGCACAUAAGAAGCUCAUAAGGCAUGAAAUGUUAAUUAAUUGAUUUGAAGAAAUGAUGCAGAAUUACAUCAGUUGUAGUAAGCAGCUUGCCUUGGAAGUCUCUGAAGUCCCUGUCUGUUUCAUCCAAGACUUCAGACUGGAAAGGAUGGUACUUGCGAAGAGUUACUUUGGGAUCUGAGUAUCUGGAAGUUUCUGGUAGCUUAUCUGUUGGGUAAAUGUGAUUGUGUCCUCAUUAGCUAUAUAUAUGAAUACAUAUCAAACAUCUAAUUCUUCUGAGUUUUUAAAAGUUCCUAUCAGCGCAUUUUUUGGUAGAGGUCAGAGCAAAGAAGAAUAUUUAGAGGAUGGUGUAGAAUAAUAAAUCAAUAGUUAAGAAAAUGAAAAUAAAUUAU
This 720-nucleotide long non-coding RNA is filed under the name Numida meleagris (helmeted guineafowl). Its description in RNAcentral is "lncRNA (ENSNMEG00000018702.1)". Lineage: Eukaryota; Metazoa; Chordata; Aves; Galliformes; Numididae. The record is from RNAcentral.